RNAcentral lists this non-coding RNA (29 nucleotides) under Mus musculus (house mouse). The record is from RNAcentral. Lineage: Eukaryota; Metazoa; Chordata; Mammalia; Rodentia; Muridae.
UGGUAACCUGCAAUCUGUCUCCUCUCCAU